Molecule: non-coding RNA, 3468 nt
Organism: Struthio camelus australis
Lineage: Eukaryota; Metazoa; Chordata; Aves; Struthioniformes; Struthionidae
Source: RefSeq, a predicted model, not a curated record
UCCAACUAACUUGAGCAAUUAAAAGUCUUAGGACUCAGUCCAAGCCUGUCAGUAAGAACCUUCAGGAGACAAUUAAUCUGAUCCUAAAAUACAGAAUGUAUUUAGGAAUCUGCUCGUAAAAUAUAGAUGAACUGCUCUUAAAAGUGCCUCUCUCUCACUGUUGAAUGCAGAGCACCUCAUUUGUCUGGUUUAAAUGUGACACCUAACUUUUAAAAAAAACAAAGGCAAGCAUGGGUUGCAUACCUAAGGUCUGGGACCUCUGCAGUUCACGCAAUGCUAGCUGACUCAGACGUGGAUUUUGGAGUGUCCUGUACAGGGAUGAUUUUGCUUCCUCCCCUUCUGAAAACGUUUGGAAACAGAGAGAACGUCAACCCAGUGAAAUGGAACGUGGAGCAGAACUGGCCAAACUAGCAGAGAUCUGAGCAAAGGUAUCUAUCUCUGUGGCAUCUCUACACUUCAUUCUGUGGCUUACACCUGCUUGGGUAGUCACAAAGGCUGUGCUUAGCUGAGAACUAAUGCCCUCAGCAGAGUGCAGAGUGCUUGUUAUGAUGGAUACUUAACAUAAUUCCUGGGAUCCCAGCAAAGCUGCAGAUGCAUUUGAACCCUACAUGAAUUUAUGAAGCAUAUCUGAACCUUUGUUAUGGAAGUCCAAUAGUUUGCAAAUGAUGGUACUGUGCACAUUGACCUUACUGUGCUGUAAGCCAUGCCUUACUGUGCUUUCAUAUAAACUACAUCUUCAGUAGGAUCUCAGCUAAGUUGUAUGGGGAGGAUGUAAUUGUGUGUGAUGGGUCAUGAGAUGAGGAGCACCUGCACAAAGCUACCUGAUGGAGGUGUGCUUGACUGCGAAGUCAUGGGUGGUACACCUCAAAAUUUUCUAGGAAGCAGGGGUUAUGCAUGAGCUGCCACUGAUGAGUGCUUCUUUUGGCAGUUUCCCACUGAGGUCCCUCAUCUGCAUGUUGCAUGAGCAUGAGGUUCUGAGGACAAGAAGCACUUUUUCUUUUUGUGUGCUGUGGCUAAGAUCCUUGGCACUAGUUGGGAACAGUUAGAAAUACAUGUGUGGUUCAGAGGAAGCUGCAGGAUUCAUAUUUUUUACAGGUACUUAAUGUAGCAAUUGCAUCAAGAAGAAGAAAAUGAAGAACAAAGAAACGGAAUCACCUAAGGUCUUGUUUAUGCAAACUUCCAUCACAAGAUGUUCUUAGAUGUCUUCCAGAAAUUACUUCCAGAAAUCUCUUGUCUGUCAAACACUGAUAAAUUCUCAUUGCUCUGUAUGUAUACAGCCAUGCUGACAUUUUGGGGUUAGAUGGAUGCCUACCCGCUCUCAGUUUUGGCAAAUCAAGUCUGUUGUUCCCCACUGAGCAGCAAACACGAAUUGAUAUAAGUGUUCUCCUUGGCAGUAGGUCACUGAAAAUACAAGUGGAGUUGGGAUGGUACCUUCCCAAGGAUAUUAGAAUGUAUUAAGUUGCCUCUCUUAUGCCUGUUCAUGGUGCUCUAGAAGAUGGAACUGUCCCUGCAGACUUUUGACACUUGUAAAGAUGCCUUCAUUUUCUACAAGAUCACAAACAGACUUGCAGAAGCAUUAGGAGACAAGAAUGGUACUUUCUAAUCAUGAAAAUUCCCACAUCACAGUAACAGGAACAGCGAAGUAGGUGAGCAUAUAUUUUGAGUAUUUGUCAGUGUUUAGCUUUGAUUUAUAUUUUAUAUGGACUUAUCUGAUUGACUUUUUUAUUCUGGAGAUCUUGUUUUUGUCCUAAACAAGUUUCUUUCCACCCCUUUUUUCUCUCUUUGUUGUUGACAUCCUCGUGGCUAGCUUUCAUUUCUCCUUGUAGGAAGCCAGAGACCUUUCACGCUAUUCGCAUCUUGUUCAUCUUGCAGAGAAAAUAUUCCACCAAAGCAAAUACUUUACCUUCUAAUGCUUACCUGUCCAGCAAAUCAUUCUCGGAGUCAUGCUAUCCACCCUCCUUUGCUCACAAAAUGGACAGCUUGGAGAAGACUGGAACUUGAGGCAUUUCUAGGGAAUACGAAGACACUUCAGAGUGAUGGGCAAGGUUGCUGAGCUGCAGGACAAGAAAUGUGAGAAGAUACAUGGGAUGUAACACAGGAGUCAGGAUAAGGAAAUGGAGGGCAAAGGCAGAAUGGAAGAAAGAAAAAGAGCGCAGAAAAGAAGCUGACAGGAUUACGAGCACGUAAACUGUAAACUCUGAGACAGGGACCCUCUUUUCAUUUUGUUGCAUGCAGUGAACGAUACAACAGCCCACAGUCCCUAAGUGGGGUCUGUCGGCAGACUGCGGGACUGUAACAAGGUGGACAGUUUUCCCACCAUCCUUUACACUAGCAGCUCUUCAGCUUGCCUAGCUGGCUCUAAAGCAGUAGCUGUCCUAUGGACAGCACAUUGAAAUAGAGAAACCUUCUACCAUUAUGGUGGUGGCACUGCAGAAAUCCAUACUGACCUCUGGGUUUUGCCAGGAGGCCCAGGAGCUCUGCACUUUGCAGAGCAGUUAUUUUCUGAAAAGGUUGUUCCUAGAGAAACUCUGCAGCAAGCUGGGCCUGCUCUAUGUUCUCUCCUGGAAGCAGAGAGGAAGAAAAAAGUCUCCAAGGCAAACAGGGAGCUGAUGAUUGUGGUUAAUUGGCAGAGAAGAAGAAGCAGGGGUGGAUCCAUUUUUCGUGAAGGGCAGAAGGAGGACAGAAGAAAUUGUGCUGUGUUCUUUCCUCCCUUUUCUGAUAAAUCUGACUUCAUGCACUUGAAAAAUGCAAAGGCGCCGUUUUACUGUGAUACUUGCGUUUCUCUGCCAGGCCCUUCUGCUUUAGAGGUAUGGAGAUGGAGACCCAAAUUUGGGAAAAGAUGAAAUAGUAAUACUAGUAGAAGAGUCCUGCAGAGGUGUGUGGCGGGGGGGCAAACCUGUAGAGUUUUACUGGGAUUAUGUAGAGAAGCAGCAUUACUUCAGAGAGGCCAGAAAGACCCUUUAGCUGGUCAAAUGUUUUCUAAGAAAACUGUUUUAACUUAUUUGCCUUUCAGAAAGGGUGAUAGUUUCUAAUGUAAAGUUUCUUCAUUAUUUUUAAGAAUAUUUUUCAAUAAAAACUAUAUACAGAAAAAAAAGUCCAAAAUUAUCAAACAUUAUUAAAAUGGUUGUGGUUAGAAAAAGGUAGAUAAAACUUUUCCUUGAAGGAGCUUGGGAUACAGUAGUUAGUUAAGAGUUUCAAUAAGGUGUCCAGUAGAUGUUCUGAUGUUUUCAGUUAAAAUUCAGGAUCAUAACAGCACACACUUUUUAAGUCACAUAUAAAAGUCCUAUUUUGAAUUCUUUGAAAGAAAACUAACUGCAAUAAUUGAAAACAAGCAUGCAUGCAAACAUUGUUGCUUUGUUUUGUGAAAACACCAGGAGAGUGUGAGCUAGAUGGAUUUGAAGAUGCAGGAGGGCUCUUCCCACUGGGGAUGGGUGCCAUGCAAAACAUCCUAUUUCCUACUAAGAUCAU